This 253-nucleotide ribosomal RNA is filed under the name uncultured prokaryote. RNAcentral describes it as "partial 16S ribosomal RNA". It matches the Rfam family "Bacterial small subunit ribosomal RNA", at positions 524 to 776 of the family's 1533-position model. The record is from RNAcentral.
UACGAGUGGUGCAAGCGUUAUUCGGAAUCAUUGGGCGUAAAGGGUGUGUAGACGGCAUGUUAAGUCAAUUGUUAAAUUCACCGGCCUAACCGGUGGCUCGCAAUAGAUACUGGCGUGCUCGAGGGUGGAAGAGAGAAGUGGAAUUCUCGGAGUAGCGGUAAAAUGCGUAGAUCUCGAGAGGAACACCAAUGGCGAAGGCAGCUUCUUGGUCCAUUUCUGACGUUGAAACACGAAAGCGUGGGGAGCAAACAGG